Molecule: long non-coding RNA, 2923 nt
Organism: Rattus norvegicus (Norway rat)
Lineage: Eukaryota; Metazoa; Chordata; Mammalia; Rodentia; Muridae
Source: Ensembl
GCAACCACACUCCUAUCAGUAACGCCUCCCCCGAGCCCCCGUAAAUAAGCCUAACGAACUCAACGGCUCGCUAAGUGGGCUGGAGGCGUGGCUGGCAUGAGAAAGAGUGAGCUGCCACCAGCAUCAUCUGAGUUUCCUGCCUGAGGAUGCGGUGUCACCAGCUGCUUUGAUCUGCCUUGGGUUCCCUGUCGGGUACUAAUAGAUGUUUGUCCACCACCACCACCACCACCACCCCUGAAAAAGUAAUGGAACCUCCGGAAGCGUCAGAUCUGUUCCGGUCUUCUGACUCGGAACUCGCCACUUCCUGAUUAUCGGGGUUGGGGGAGGAGCAGCGUUCAUGUUCACGAUUGCUCCUUUACUCCGAUUCCCAGCACAGAGUUCCCUCCCAUUUUCCAGAAAUUUUCUAGUUCCCUGAGGUAACUCUCAAUGAGCCCCAGCAGGUGAUCUAAUCACCAAAAGUAUGGAUCUGUCGACCCCACCCCCAGCAUCUGGGAAAUGGGCGUGGUCUGGAGACGGACUGGUCCUCAACACUGUCCGCACAUUAAAGCCCUACAGAAAUCCUUCAGCAGCCGCAUGGACCUUCCAGAUGGACGACGCAUCCAUGUGCAGGAAGAUGCCCCCGCGCUCAGGAGCUCUCUAGACCACACCCAUUGAUCUUCAUACCCACCUGCAUAUCUACAUCGCUUCUUAUAACUCUUCUCAACACAAGAACCAAGAAAACAUGCUUCCCUGCGUCCCGAGAGCUCUCCUAACACGUACAUCAGACACUGUACGUGUCUCAGAGUUGGAACAUGGGCACAUGUCCCUCCUUUCUCAGAAGACCCCAACUGAAAUCCAUUGGAGGAGAAAUGCAGAUACCAAGUUACUACUUACGUGGACAUGUCUGGCCUUAUGGGCUAGACCUUAGACUUUGGGAUCUGACGUCCACCCAGAUAGACAGCACUGCAGUUGGAAAAGCUAGAGAAUCUUUAUCUGGUGUCCGCUGAAAAACUGGCUAGUAAUGGCCAGAAAUUCCCAUCUAUCCUGGUCACAGGAAUGUGUUGAAUGUUGACUAAUGAUAGAAGGAAAAGGAGUAUUUAUACAAUAACUGAUAUGCAUUUCCACAAUUUAAAUUUGGUUUAAAAAAUGCAUUUGGGGGGCUGGGGAUUUAGCUCAGUGGUAGAGCGCUUACCUAGGAAGCGCAAGGCCCUGGGUUCGGUCCCCAGCUCCGAAAAAAAGAACCAAAAAAAAAAAAAAAUGCAUUUGGAUGUAGAUGUUGACCACCCUUCUAAAACCUGGAAGAUUUGGAGAAGAAAACUGGACAAAGUGAUAGACACCUGUAACCCCAGGCUCAUUCUUCUUAGCAGUGGGGGAGGGGGGGAAUUAACUCACACUGGGGAGUGGGAACAGCCAAAUCUGGAACCUCGAUGUUAGCCUCUCUAAAGAGCAGGAUCAGAGAUCCUGUCUCAAAAAUCAAAGUGGAGUGCUACAGAGGAAGCCACAUGAACCUCCAGCCUUCACAUACACGGUUAUAGGCACAGCACACACAUGCAUACACACACACAGAUACGCACACACACAUGCAUACACAUACACACAGAUACACACACAUAUACACAUACACAGAUAUACACAUACACACACACAUACACAUACACACACAUACACACAUACAGAAAGAGAUUAAAACAAAUACAUUCUGAAUUAUCUAAAUAAACAUUCCCCAAGUGCACACUGCCCACUGUGUAUUUAUAGACAAGUCAACAGAAAGCAGCAAUAUUUCACAUAUUUGUGGGCCAACAACUCCACCCAAGGCACUGAUAGCAAGGGAACCCAGGAGAACACGGCGCAGUGACCAGUAUGACUCUCCCACUGCAAGUGGCACUUUUUUCAACAUCGCCAUUCUGUUCAUAACAACUGUUCCAUGGUUUGCUUUUUACCAUUGCACAACUAAGGGGAUAAGACAUUUGGGCAAAGUUCACCCUUUCGAGUAUUGAGAUAACCGUCAGUGAAAAGGCCGCAGGCCAGCGUUGACAAGCCACAGUUCUCUUGCUGUUGUCGCUGUUGUUGUUUGAUUGGUUGUUUCAAUUCAAUAGGAAGCAUCGAGCUCUUGGCUCUCUCUUCCAGCAGGACCAAGCUAGCACUGUCUGAAGACACGAGGAUUGGAGGGCUUGAGGCUGUUACUCGGCAGUCACCAGAGUAGUGCAAUCCAUUUCCCCACUCCGUCAGCUCAGUCUUCUCAUACCUAAUGUAGCCUAGGUCCUCAAGAGCACCCUGUUCACUCUGAGGGGUCCUGCAGAAGACGGAAAUGACUCGGGAAAGGCAGCACAGACUUAAGUCAGGGUAAUUAGCUGCUGAAAUGAGAAGGGAAUCGUGUCUGCAUAAGAGACGGGGUUUCUAAAGUAGGGUUCCUGAAAUGUCCGUAAUAACACACUAUAUUUUGUUUAUAAAUAUGUUUGUCUUUCCUCUGGGGCCCAGAGCUCUCUGCAGACUUUAAACGGACCCAAUUCCCAAAGACGGUUUGGAGCCAUGAAGAUCUCGUUUCUUCACAUUACUGGAGAACCAUGGCCCUCUGGGAACAGAGACAUUGACGUUGGGAAUUUGGAAAGGAGAAUUAGAAUCCAUAUGUGAAAUGGGAUCCUAAAAGCUAACCGACCCCAUUUACAAACCUAAUAGAGUUUUGCUUCAAAGUCAAGAAUAUCCUGUUCUUCUUACCUCAUCCACACACCGGAAAUGGUGAAAAUACUAACUACCUUAAAUGAAAGGCCUAUUUCACUUUGAGUUAGAAGAUUGUAAAAUUGUUGGUAUAGUGGGUAGAAAGGCCAUAUCAAGCCCAAUGCUGGUGCUGACAAUUGUAAGAGGAAAAAUUAAAUUAUAUGUUCUGCUCCACUAACAAUAGAGGCUUCUUGAAAAAAUAAAAAUAAAAAUAAAAAUCUGAAAACGU